AGCCUGAACGCUGGCGGCGUGGCUAAGACAUGCAAGUCGCACGGAUGUAGCAAUACAUCAGUGGCGAACGGGUGAGUAAUGAAUCGCUAAUGUGCCCCGGACUCUGAGAUAGCCAGUCGAAAGAUUGGGUAAUAUCAGAUGAUAUGCAACUGUCGCAUGACAGUUGCCUCAAAGGUCCGCCGGUCUGGGAGCAGGCGAUUUCGUAUCAGCUAGUUGGUGAGGUAACGGCUCACCAAGGCGACGACGCGUAACCGGACUGAGAGGUUGGCCGGUCACAGUUGGGACUGGAGACACUGCCCAGACCUCCGUACGGGGGGCUGCAGUAACGAAUCGUUCCGCAAUGACACGAAGUGUGACGGAGCGACGCCGCGUGUAGGACGAAGCCCGUUACGGGUGUAACUACGUGUCGAGGGUUAGAAGUUCGUAGAU
This 429-nucleotide ribosomal RNA is filed under the name uncultured soil bacterium. RNAcentral's name for it is "bacterial SSU rRNA". It matches the Rfam family "Bacterial small subunit ribosomal RNA", at positions 26 to 459 of the family's 1533-position model. The record is from RNAcentral.